ACCUAAAAUUUUUCCGAGGUAUGUCAGCAUUCGGGGGACGAUACGGCGUCGAGCGGCGGACGGGUGAGUAAUGCCUAGGAAAUUGCCCUGAUGUGGGGGAUAACCAUUGGAAACGAUGGCUAAUACCGCAUAAUGCCUACGGGCCAAAGAGGGGGACCUUCGGGCCUCUCGCGUCAGGAUAUGCCUAGGUGGGAUUAGCUAGUUGGUGAGGUAAUGGCUCACCAAGGCGACGAUCCCUAGCUGGUCUGAGAGGAUGAUCAGCCACACUGGAACUGAGACACGGUCCAGACUCCUACGGGAGGCAGCAGUGGGGAAUAUUGCACAAUGGGCGCAAGCCUGAUGCAGCCAUGCCGCGUGUGUGAAGAAGGCCUUCGGGUUGUAAAGCACUUUCAGUCGUGAGGAAGGUGGUGUAGUUAAUAGCUGCAUUACUUGACGUUAGCGACAGAAGAAGCACCGGCUAACUCCGUGCCAGCAGCCGCGGUAAUACGGAGGGUGCGAGCGUUAAUCGGAAUUACUGGGCGUAAAGCGCAUGCAGGUGGUUUGUUAAGUCAGAUGUGAAAGCCCGGGGCUCAACCUCGGAAUAGCAUUUGAAACUGGCAGACUAGAGUACUGUAGAGGGGGGUAGAAUUUCAGGUGUAGCGGUGAAAUGCGUAGAGAUCUGAAGGAAUACCGGUGGCGAAGGCGGCCCCCUGGACAGAUACUGACACUCAGAUGCGAAAGCGUGGGGAGCAAACAGGAUUAGAUACCCUGGUAGUCCACGCCGUAAACGAUGUCUACUUGGAGGUUGUGGCCUUGAGCCGUGGCUUUCGGAGCUAACGCGUUAAGUAGACCGCCUGGGGAGUACGGUCGCAAGAUUAAAACUCAAAUGAAUUGACGGGGGCCCGCACAAGCGGUGGAGCAUGUGGGUUUAAUUCGAUGCAACGCGAAGAACCUUACCUACUCUUGACAUCCAGAGACUUUCCAGAGAUGGAUUGGUGCUUUCGGGAACUCUGAGACAGGUGCUGCAUGGCUGUCGUCAGCUCGUGUGUGAAAUGUUGGGUAGUCCCGCACGAGCGCAACCCUUAUCUGUUGCAGCGAGUAUGUCGGAUCCAGAGACUGCGUGAUAAACGAGAAGUGGGACGACGUCAGUCAUCAUGCCUACGAGUAGGCUACAACGUGCUACAUUGGCCAUACGAGGCACAGCUACGAUUGGAGCGAAUCCAAAGUGGCGCCUGUCGUAUUCCGGGAAUGA
RNAcentral lists this ribosomal RNA (1231 nucleotides) under Vibrio neocaledonicus. Its description in RNAcentral is "bacterial SSU rRNA". It matches the Rfam family "Bacterial small subunit ribosomal RNA", at positions 61 to 1308 of the family's 1533-position model. The record is from RNAcentral. Lineage: Bacteria; Pseudomonadati; Pseudomonadota; Gammaproteobacteria; Vibrionales; Vibrionaceae.